AGAGUUUGAUCCUGGCUCAGGAUGAACGCUGGCGGUAUGCUUAACACAUGCAAGUCGAACGAAUUAAUGGGUAACUAUUAGUUAGUGGCGGACGGGUGAGUAACGCGUAAGAAUCUACCUUUUGGAGAGGGAUAACAUCGGGAAACUGAUGCUAAUACCUCAUAGUACUGAGGAGUUAAAGCAGCGAAAGCUGGCCAAAAGAGGAGCUUGCGUCUGAUUAGCUAGUUGGUGAGGGUAAAAGCCUCCCAAGGCCACGAUCAGUAGCUGGUUUGAGAGGAUGAUCAGCCACACUGGGACUGAGACACGGCCCAGACUCCUACGGGAGGCAGCAGUGAGGAAUUUUCCGCAAUGGGCGAAAGCCUGACGGAGCAAUACCGCGUGGGUGAAGACGGCCUGUGGGUUGUAAAGCCCUUUUCUCAGAGAAGAACAAAUGACGGUACCUGAGGAAUAAGCUCCGGCUAACCCUGUGCCAGCAGCCGCGGUAAUACAGGGGGAGCAAGCGUUAUCCGGAAUGAUUGGGCGUAAAGCGUCUGUAGGUGGUCUAAAAAGUCUACUGUCAAAUACCAAGGCUUAACCUUGGGCAGGCAUUAGAGUACUUUUAGACUUGAGUGCGGUAGAGGUAGAGGGAAUCCCUAGCGUAACAGUGAAAUGUGUAGAUUUUAGGGAGAACACCAGCGGCGAAGGCGCUCUACUGGGCCGAGACUGACACUGAGAGACGAAAGCUAAGGGAGAGAAUAGGAUUAGAUACCCUAGUAUUCUUAGCUGUAAACGAUGGAAACUAAGUGCUGCCGAAUGCAGUGCUGUAGCUAACGCGUUAAGUUUCCCGCCUGGGGAGUAUGCCCGCAAGGGUGAAACUCAAAGGAAUUGACGGGGGCCCGCACAAGCAGUGGAUUAUGUGGUUUAAUUCGAUACAACGCGAAGAACCUUACCAAGGUUUGACAUACUCAGAAUUUUCCAGAAAUGGAUUAGUGCCAGCAAUGGAACUGAGAUACAGGUGGUGCAUGGCUGUCGUCAGCUCGUGCGUUGACGUGUAUGGUUAAGUCCUGCAACGAGCGCAACCCUCGUCUUUAGUUAAAUACUCUAAAGAGACUGCCAGUGCAAACUGGAGGAAGGUGAGGAUGACGUCAAGUCAGCAUGCCCCUUACACCUUGGGCUACACACGUAAUACAAUGGUUGGGACAAUCAGAAGCGAUCCUGCGAAGGCUAGCGAAUCUGUUAAACCCAACCUCAGUUCGGAUUGCAGGCUGCAACUCGCCUGCAUGAAGUCGGAAUUGCUAGUAAUCGCCAAUCAGCUAUGUGGCGGUGAAUACGUUCCCGGGCCUUGUACACAUCGCCCGUCACGUCAAGAAAGGAGAUUCUUCCCAAAGUCGGUAGUCUAACCGUUUGGAAGGCGCUGCCAAAGGAAGGGUUUCUGAUCAUGAUGAAGUCGUAACAAGGU
RNAcentral lists this ribosomal RNA (1438 nucleotides) under metagenome. RNAcentral's name for it is "bacterial SSU rRNA". It matches the Rfam family "Bacterial small subunit ribosomal RNA". The record is from RNAcentral.